This 22-nucleotide microRNA is filed under the name Bombyx mori (domestic silkworm). RNAcentral describes it as "bmo-miR-2766-5p". Lineage: Eukaryota; Metazoa; Arthropoda; Insecta; Lepidoptera; Bombycidae. The record is from miRBase by way of RNAcentral.
CCGCCCUUCGUCUUGACUGGCG